This 373-nucleotide ribosomal RNA is filed under the name uncultured organism. Its description in RNAcentral is "partial 16S ribosomal RNA". It matches the Rfam family "Bacterial small subunit ribosomal RNA", at positions 527 to 896 of the family's 1533-position model. The record is from RNAcentral.
GUAGGUGGCAAGCGUUGUCCGGAAUUAUUGGGCGUAAAGCGCGCGCAGGUGGUUCUUUAAGUCUGAUGUGAAAGCCCCCGGGCUCAACCGGGGAGGGUCAUUGGAAACUGGGGAACUUGAGUGCAGGAGAGGAAAGUGGAAUUCCACGUGUAGCGGUGAAAUGCGUAGAUAUGUGGAGGAACACCAGUGGCGAAGGCGACUUUCUGGCCUGUAACUGACACUGAGGCGCGAAAGCGUGGGGAGCAAACAGGAUUAGACACCCUGGUAGUCCACGCCGUAAACGAUGAGUGCUAAGUGUUGGGGGGUUUCCGCCCCUCAGUGCUGCAGCUAACGCAUUAAGCACUCCGCCUGGGGAGUACGGUCGCAAAGACUG